CGGGCGUAGCAAUACGUCAGCGGCAGACGGGUGAGUAACGCGUGGGAACGUACCUUUUGGUUCGGAACAACACAGGGAAACUUGUGCUAAUACCGGAUAAGCCCUUACGGGGAAAGAUUUAUCGCCGAAAGAUCGGCCCGCGUCUGAUUAGCUAGUUGGUAGGGCAAUGGCCUACCAAGGCGACGAUCAGUAGCUGGUCUGAGAGGAUGAUCAGCCACAUUGGGACUGAGACACGGCCCAA
RNAcentral lists this ribosomal RNA (241 nucleotides) under uncultured bacterium. RNAcentral describes it as "partial 16S ribosomal RNA". It matches the Rfam family "Bacterial small subunit ribosomal RNA", at positions 67 to 334 of the family's 1533-position model. The record is from RNAcentral.